This 425-nucleotide ribosomal RNA is filed under the name uncultured bacterium. RNAcentral's name for it is "partial 16S ribosomal RNA". It matches the Rfam family "Bacterial small subunit ribosomal RNA", at positions 354 to 796 of the family's 1533-position model. The record is from RNAcentral.
GUGGGGAAUCUUGCGCAAUGGGCGAAAGCCUGACGCAGCCAUGCCGCGUGAAUGAUGAAGGUCUUAGGAUUGUAAAAUUCUUUCACCGGGGACGAUAAUGACGGUACCCGGAGAAGAAGCCCCGGCUAACUUCGUGCCAGCAGCCGCGGUAAUACGAAGGGGGCUAGCGUUGCUCGGAAUUACUGGGCGUAAAGGGCGCGUAGGCGGACAGUUUAGUCAGAGGUGAAAGCCCAGGGCUCAACCUUGGAAUUGCAUUUGAUACUGGCUGUCUUGAGUACGGGAGAGGUGAGUGGAACUCCGAGUGUAGAGGUGAAAUUCGUAGAGAUUCGGAAGAACACCAGUGGCGAAGGCGACUCACUGGCCCGUUACUGACGCUGAGGCGCGAAAGCGUGGGGAGCAAACAGGAUUAGAUACCCCGGUAGUCC